UGACCGAACAUCAGUAGGGAAGUCGGAGAUGCUCUGUGGCGAGAAAAGCUGUGUGUAUUGAUUAGGCGCCCGUACCGCAAACCGACACAGGUAGAUGAGGAGAGAAUCCUAAGGCCAACGGGAGAAGGGUUGUUAAGGAACUCGGCAAAUUGACCCCGUAACUUCGGGAUAAGGGGAGCCUCCUACGGGAGGCCGCAGUGAAUAGGCCCAAGCAACUGUUUACCAAAAACACAGGUCUCUGCUAAAUCGAAAGAUGAUGUAUAGGGGCUGACGCCUGCCCGGUGCCGGAAGGUUAAGAGGAGAGCUUAGCGCAAGCGAAGGUUCGAAUUGAAGCCCCGGUAAACGGCGGCCGUAACAAUAACGGUCCUAAGGUAGCGAAAUUCCUUGUCAGGUAAGUUCUGACCCGCACGAAUGGCGUAAUGAUUUGGGCACUGUCUCAACAGCCCGCCCGGCGAAAUUGUAGUACUGGUGAAGAUGCCAGUUACCCGCAACUAGACGGAAAGACCCCAUGGAGCUUUACUGUAGCCUAAUACUGAAGAUCGGUAAUGCAUGUACAGGAUAGGUGGGAGCCAGCGAAACCCGGGCGUCAGCUCGGAUGGAGGCAACCUUGGAAUACCACCCUUGUAUUGCUGGUUUUCUAACCUGCGGCCAUGAAUCUGGUCGGGGGACACUGUUAGGUGGGCAGUUUGACUGGGGCGGUCGCCUCCAAAAGCGUAACGGAGGCGCUCAAAGGUUGGCUCAGCACGGACGGAAAUCGUGCAUAGAGUGCAAACGCAUAAGCCAACUUGACUGCGAGACCGACGGGUCGAGCAGGUACGAAAGUAGGAGUUAGUGAUCCGGUGGUAUGUGAGUGGAAAUGCCAUCGCUCAACGGAUAAAAGCUACCCUGGGGAUAACAGGCUGAUCUCCCCCAAGCGUCCACAGCGACGGGGAGGUUUGGCACCUCGAUGUCGGCUCGUCACAUCCUGGGGCUGUAUUCGGUCCCAAGGGUUCGGCUGUUCGCCGAUUAAAGUGGCACGCGAGCUGGGUUCAGAACGUCGUGAGACAGUUCGGUCCCUAUCUGUUGCGGGCGCAGGAGAUUUGAAGGGAGCUGUCCUUAGUACGAGAGGACCGGGAUGGACAGACCUCUGGUGCACCAGUUGUCGUGCCAACGGCACAGCUGGGUAGCUACGUCUGGACGAGAUAAACGCUGAAAGCAUCUAAGUGUGAAACUCCCCCUAAGAUAAGAUCUCCCAUCCAUUAGGAGUAAGGGACGACAGAGACUAUGUCGUUGAUAGGUCGGAAGUGUAAGUGCAGUAAUGCAUUGAGCUGACCGAUACUAAUAACCCGAGGGCUUGAGC
RNAcentral lists this ribosomal RNA (1339 nucleotides) under metagenome. RNAcentral's name for it is "bacterial LSU rRNA". It matches the Rfam family "Bacterial large subunit ribosomal RNA", at positions 1569 to 2925 of the family's 2925-position model. The record is from RNAcentral.